Molecule: long non-coding RNA, 9426 nt
Organism: Culex pipiens pallens (northern house mosquito)
Lineage: Eukaryota; Metazoa; Arthropoda; Insecta; Diptera; Culicidae
Exons: 2
Source: RefSeq, a predicted model, not a curated record
UCGGAAAAAAAAAGUCACACGUAAAUCCCCCCGUCGUCCGGAACCACACAGAGCAAGCAGAUUCAUUAAUUCGCCACGACGUCAACGUGUCGAUUGAUUGAUUGAAUGUUCCUAUUUGCCAGCCAAGUCGAGAUAGCCAGUAAGUCGUCGCAGUCGAUGAGCUUAGUCCAAUCACGUUCCACAUCGAUCGGUGCCAAAUAUUAAAUUCACGGUCGGGCGAUGGGUUCUUCGAGCAGUCAAGUGCAGCAUUUUUCGCGCGCCCAAACAAAACUAAAGUGCGAUUCUGCCGGAAGAACCCAGUAGGCCGCUCGGAGGAGCACGUGAAUCACAAGCUCCAUGGAAAUGAGGUGCAUUAAAAUAAAUAUAUGUAAUCGAAUCCAAAUGCACUCAGUUGCAUCGAAAAUCAAAUUUUAUUUUUUAAACAAGUUACAAAAUUUUGGUCACAAUGUCAAACGGAACCGUGGUUCACGACCAGGCAGGUGAUCCAAAUCCGGAAGCAGAAGUACCAACCCAGCAAUGGAUAUCGGAACUGCAGCAGGCCAUGAGUUUGAGGGAGAGAAAAAUAGUUCCGCGUGUUGGUUGGCCUUCUUCAUGGUAGUUUGCACACAGACGAAUCGUUGGAAGAGGAAGUUAACACGCACGCGACCUACGGGUGACUGUGAUGGGGAGGGAGGAAAUUAAAAUUCUGAUUGAUUCGUGUAAUAAUUAAGCGCAGAGAAGGGGUUAUUCAUGGUUGGAAUAGUGUGGAUUUCAAUUAUUGUCUUUUACGAUUAAAAACGAAAAAUUUCGUGAUGUGGGAAUUCAGCAAAGGACAGUGAAAAAAAUAAAAAUUUCCAAAAAAACACAAAUUUGGCCGCAUUUUCAUAAAUCUGAAGUGAACUUCAAAAUCUUUUCAAGGGCUACAACAAAAUUAAAAUUUUUCAAAAGGCCUUUCAAGGAGCAAUUCAAAAAUAAAAUAGUUGAAAGAUCUGGUUGCACAGUUCUACGCUAUGGAGACAUAAGUAGAACUAUGCAGUUGUUUGUUUAUGUUUGAUAUGGAAACGUCAACUUAGCUUAGAUACGUUAAUUCACUAAUUUACCUACUGUUUCAUUGUAGAAUAUCAUAUCCCUAUCUAUGAAGUCCAAUUCCUACGCUACGUAAUUUUUAAUGUAAAGUGAUUUUAGAUAGGCUAUAAGUUUAUUGAUUUUAAUGAUUUAUAUUCGCUCAUUAAAAAAAAUUAAAACGAUAAAAAAUAGUUUAGCAACCCUGCAAAUAGGGGAACAGCAUCUAAUUCCAGCGUGCCUCUAAUGUUGGCAGGUAAGCACUUUGACAUUCAAUUAAAGCUAAUUAAAAGCGUUUUCAACUGAAAUCGAGUGAUAAAUAGCUCAACAAGAAGUGAGCAAGCAAGUUUAUAUCAAAAGUUUUGCAAAUUUAGUUGUUUAAAUAGUGAAAAUCAGCAAAUUGGAUGGAAUUAGGCGCGAGUGAUUAACCUGCCAAAGAUACGAGAAUUUCCCCUACCCGUUCAACCCAUCACACAUCACAUCAACUAACGAAGUUCACUGUCAAAGUCAAAUCAGCGAAAGUUUUAUGUUCUGGAAAAAAAAACGCGGCUGCAACAGUAGCACGCGCUCUCGUCCGUUAAAACACUCGACUCGAGCUUGAAACGGAAGAGAUCCUUUAAAUAUAGAACACGCAACGAAGCAUAAAAUGAGCGGGAAAUAACAAACUCAAGUCGAAGCAGGAGGGAGGACGCUCGAAACGUGGUGGGAUUUAUAAGGUCGACCUUCCGCCGUCCUUUCUUGGGCAAAAGUUUGCUAAUUUAAAAAAAAGGAGGAAAGAAAAAUAAUAGGAAAAGACACUGCCCACACGCUAGACAAGGGUCCGACUAGUCGCGAAUGUAGGUUAAGUGUGUACUAAAAUCGCAUCAUCGAAUUCUGGGGGACCGAUAGCGCGCAGAAAAGUGGGUCAAGAAGGGAUGAAAACUUGCCAACGUUGGUGAUAAAUUUGCGUUUUGUUUGGCAUGGAUUUUUUUUUAUCUUGUUAAGUUUUGAGGAUGAUAUCGUGAUUUCCGGAGAACUUGGAAGUAUCGUUGCCAGAUAGGACUAAAACCGUUGCCAGUAUCGGGCACAUUCCGGAGGGAUCUAUUUUUGUUUCGUUCAUAAUUCAAUAAACAUUUCCCGCUGCAUUGUAGCUAAUUGAAUAAAUUAUGUGUAGUAAAAAUUAAUUUCGCGAGUUAUGAAUUAUUAAUCCGAUAAAUGUAGCACAGUAAUUGGUGCGGUGCCCAUCGGUGUUCGACACUCACAUUGGUGGUCCCACGCGGUAAUAAUGGUCCGCUCGAUGUACUGGAGUACCGCGGCAUAUCGGAUCCACGUGUCCAAUCCAUUCCCACAUCAACUCAUCAGCACUCUCCCGCACCCCCUACCUCCCACCUCCAGGAGUGCAGUAUUUGCAUUUUCGCGUUUCAUUUAACAUGGAAUUAUAGCGAAAAUUGAUAAUUCGCAUCCCAGACCAGCAAAGCCCACGAUACUUGUACCGGGUCGAGUGGUGGAAUCGAUUCGCAGGUUGAGGUCUCGUUAAGAACCAUCUCAACAGCAAGAGACCACACAUUGUCUGGUAGCAGAUUAACAGAGAUGAUUCGAUAUGGUAUUACUUCCGAUGUGUAUGUACAAUCCAAUACCAGCUGGCCGGCAGUUGCCUGGAUGUGAUUCAAUAUCGGAACAAUACCGUCUGUGUCGCAUAAUCGCAAAUUAUGUUUCCCACCUUUAACGCACUCUAACUCAGCAACGUGUUGAUCAGAGAUAUCCACAGGUAUACUGCUCAGAUCGAUUGACUUCGAAUAGGACAAGUAGUCAGUUGAGAUUCUUCGAGAAUGUCACUAUGGUCACCAUUUUACAAACAAUGAGUUCCUCGGUGCCACCUGCUCAGCGCCGUACCUAGGGGUUGACCCAUGGGGGGCACCGAAAUCGAUGAUUGUACAAAAUUUUCAUGUCAGCUAUAACAUCCUCAUUAGAUAUUUGAAACAAAAAGUUUGCCGAAUUAUAAAAUACAACUACAAAUAACUAGAUAAUUUGGUCUAAAAUACAAAAAAAUAUUUAGGGGCGCCAAAGUCAAUUGUAUGAAUAUUUUUACUGAAGUGUUUUUGAAAAUUCAUACUUGUUGCUAAAUUUAUUUUUUCAUCAAAUAAGGGGCGCUCAAGUAGCAGAAAAUUAAAGGAGUUCUAGAAGAGCUUCUCAAAAUAAAUACACGUUAAAGUUAAGACCGUUGUAUAAUGAAGUUUAAGUCAUACCAAACAGACUUGUCCAACUAUAUGUUAUUUUCACGUUAAUUUGGCUGUGAAUCACAAACAGUCAAAUUGGGUCCUAAAAUGAAGCUUAGAUUGCUGAUAUUAUUGUUUACAGCGAUAAAGCUUAUUUUUCUCAGUACAAUGACCAUUUGUACGACCACAAAGAGUUUAAAAUGGAUUUUUAAAUCAAUUUUGAAAAAUUAACCUCGCGGUCCUUCUUGACAGAAAAGUUCCUACUUGACAGCUCGUUCCAAGGGGACCAUAGUUGAUCCAUCGAAAAAAUGUUGUCUUGUCAAAAAAAAAUUUUGCAUUAAAAUGAAAAAAAGUGAUCAGAAAUGGUUUUUAAUCGUGUUUUUUACCGUUGUACAUAAAAAUUGGCAUAGGGCUUUAGUACCCAAUUGUGAAAAAACUAUGGUCAUAUUUUGAGCUUCUUUAAAAUAGGAAUUAUUUUAACAUUAAAACAUAUACCUUUCUUUUGAUUACAUUCUCGAGUUAAAAAAUGGCAUUUGCAAUAUUAUCAGCUUGAUUUCCCCUUUUAUAAUCAACUUCGUGCAUUGAAAUUUGCUUACUCUUUUACAAAAUACUAGAGUUUAAAAAUUGGAAAACUGCUGUAAAUUUUCACCAAUACGACCAACAUUAUUUUUUCAAGAAAAAAAAAUGUUUUUCAAAGCACAUAACUUUUCAGUUUUAGCUUAACCGGUGUUGUUUACUUUUUAAAUCGUCUAAAAAGCUUUGGUAAUGAAAAAAAUAGUUAAAAACAAAAAAAAACAUAUCGGGAUUUAAAAACAUUUGCAUAGUUUUGCGCAAAAAAUAUUUUUCUAGAAUGUAAAAUUAAAUUUUUCGGAUUUAAAAAAAUAAAUAAAUUUUGAUGAAAAUAAAAAUCAAUACAAAACAUAAAUGGGUACUAAAGCCAUACGUCAUUUUUUAUGUACAACAGUAAAAAACACGACCAAAAACCAUUUCUGAUCACUUUUUUUUUCAUUUUAAUACAAAAAAAAAUAAUGACAAGACAACAUUUUUUCGAUGGAUCAACUAUGGUCCCCUUGGAACGAGCUGUCAAGUAAGAACUUUUCUGUCAAGAAGAACCGCGAGGUUUAUUUUUCAAAAUUGAUUUAAAAACAUAAACUUUAAAAAAUAUUUGCAACGGCCUUAAAAAAAUAAAAUUAUGAAAUAUAAUCUCAAAUAUCGUGCGGGCAAAUCACUCAAAAUGAAUAAAAUUUUCUUAUCCUAUUUUUUUUAACAAAAAAAUCUUCAAUACUUAAAUGUUUUGGAAACUUAUGAUUGCAAAAUAACUGGACUAUUCUGCAUUUUAAAACACUUUUUUCAUUCAAAUGUUAAAACCGUGGCCUGUAAUUUCAAUUUUUAACUUUUUUAUUUUUUUUUUGGUCAGAGUCGAGGGACAUAAAAUUCAAAAAAUAUUUGCUAAGGCCUAAAUUGAUUUAUAAAAACUUCAUCAUCCCGGUACGAGAAUCGAACUCACGUACUCUGGAUUGAAAAUCCAGCACGCCGUUUUUGGAAAUCCAUGGGAUUUGAACACUUUGUUCGUGGUUCCCAUUUUCGUGAACGCUUGUUCACGAUUUUGGGAACUCUUUUUUCUCCGUGCGGUCAGUAUUCCCAGAGAGCAGAUUUACUCUUUGAAGGGAUCUGACUUUGCCGAGCCAGACAGGAAUCGAACUCAUCACCUUCCGCUUACAAAGCGAAACCCGUGACCUCACGGAAACGGUAGCUCAGCAAAAACUAUAUAGUUGAUUUUUGGAAGGUUAAUAAUUUGAUUGGUUGAAAUUGCCUCUUUUUGAGUAAUUUCACAUUAAAAUUGCGUAAAAGUGUGAACCUGAUUUUGACGAAAUUUUGUUGAAAAAUUAUACAUCGAUGCCGGGGCUCAGCUAAGCUUGCUGAGAUUCCUAUCUAGGUAGAACAAAAGAGCACACGGGCAUCCAAUUAUUAUUUUUUCAAUUUUGAAGAAUGAUUUGUUUCUUUUUUCGUUGUAAUUAACGAAAUGAAAUCCAAAGCCAAAUCAGCUAAUUAUUUUACGAACCGGGAAAUUUUUGUGCUUAUACACUCAAAUUAAUACUACAUCAGAUCAAAUUAUGCAGACUUAAAAUAUCAUAUUAGCUUUCAAGUUAUAGCAAGUUUAGUUCAAGUUUAGUUCUAGAAGUAUUAUUCCAAUGUGAUGAGUGGGUGUACGACAUGCUCUGCCUACGUAGUGUGUUGGGGGUGCUUACAAAAUCAAUCAAUUGGUCAUCUCUAUGCGAAAGAGAUUUGUGCUUCAUAUGUUAAGCAGUGAGAUCUAUUUUUCGAAACGGUUGUAGAGAUGGAAUGGAAACAAAAAAGAAAUGGUAGUGAUUUUACGUAAAAAGUGUGUGACAUGUCGCGAUCAAAUAGUUUGAGUGAAAACAUAAGUGUUUUUGAGAAUGAAUGAUGUUCAAAGAAGAAGAGCAUGUUGAUCGAUAGUUGGAGUUCUGACUAUGUAAAAAAUGUGGUCUGAGGGUAGGGUUUACUUGCCACAAUGUUGUGAAUGAUGGCGAAACAAGCACUUGUUGAAAGAUUUUCGGGUGAGUUCGUUUCAUGUCGUGUGCGCGUGUGUGUGUGUGUGCGUGGUAGAGAGAGAGAGAGAGAGAGAGUCCGCGUUUAUAACGUUUUUUUUUUUAAAUAAAUCUGUAUCGCCGUGGGGUUUUGUGCACUCAGUCGGUUCGCGUCGUGUCCGUCGCGUUUGAUUUUCGUGAUUUGUUUGAUUCUGAAUUGACACCCGGUUCUGUGCACUCUGCCGGUUUGCGUCGCGGCCGUCGCGCUUGAUUUUUUUUUGUUACGGCGGUUUCAUGGCGGUUUUUUUGUAAAAUUUAGGGUAUUUUGCAGUUAAAAUUCGUUAAUUUUAGAAAUUUUGUCAUCGACGCGUUAUUGAUUCAAGACCGGUUAUUGAUUUUGUUAAUUUUGUUUUCACGAUGUCGCGAUAUCAAUAGAUUUUGUUUCGUUUUGUAGUGUUUUCGUGUUAUCCGCUAGAAUUUUAAGUACUCGUGACUAGACCUUUCCUUAGCAUCGCAGCUCGUAAGGCAGGGUGAUAAGUAUUAUUUCAACGUGAUUAUUCACGCCAUUUCUAUAGCGUCGCAGACUAUCCCGAUCGUACGCCAUACGUAUAAUUUAAUAAUCAAGUAUGUAAACCGCUCCAAAUUAACUUACAUAGGUUAAUAUUUUACCCUUUAACUACAUAUCGUUUUGGUUUUAUCUUUCCACAGCCGGCUGUCUAAGAUAAAAACACUUCAUUAAAAAUUUAACAACAGUUAAACGGGAAAUGUCUCAUCCGCAGCAUCCGAUUGUUUGCCUUGAGAAUAAAAUAUAAUACCUUUCAACAAACACUAUGAUUUUGGGUCGCAUCAUCAUCUUCUAUGAUGAAUCCUGACCAAACACCCUAUCCUACUAACAAGUUUUCAGGUUCCUGGCGCUCGUGGGGUGUAAGCACAGAGUAAAUCAGCUGCCCUAGUAGCAACCAGCGCUAACUAACAUUCCCGUCCCUUUAAAAUCGAGAUCUACAAACUGACAUGGCGGGCGCCGUUGGUGGCCAAUGACUGUUACCUAUUCACAACUGAUCUAGUUUUGGCAAUCAUGGUGUUCUAUCUUUUCAGCGCAUUCAUACAUGCUGUUGAUAAGGGAAAUACCACUUGAUAGUCGAAGCCUAUGAUCAGUAGAGCUGAAAGGAUAUUACGGUUCUGUUCAGCAACGGAGAAGGACAACCAUGGGUGGUCUCUCAUGCUCAUGCUCAUGCUCAUGCUCAUAUUAGCUUUCAAGUUAUAGCAAAAUUUAUCAUGAUUGAGCAUUGAAUUCUGUGCAUUUAUCUGAAAAAUAAAUUAAAAAAUAUAAAAAAAAAACCUGCUAUCAUUAUCGAUUUUAUGAAACCUGAUUCAAUAUUCAGCCAACUUAACUCCUAUAAAAAAAAUCUAUUCAUCCUAUCUAUAUUAUUUGAAAAAUAAUGUUUCUGAAUUUAAUCAUAUUAAGGUCUCCAAUUGCAAUUAUAAAAUCAAAACACAUAUUGAAGCAAUCAUUGAAAAUUAAUAUCAAUUUUUCAAAAUGCUUGUAAAUUUGGGAGGGGCGCCAAAUUGACGGUUCGACAAGGGCGCCGUGGACCCAAAGUACGACUCUGAGGCUUCUAUAACAGUUAGAGGAACAGCAUCUAAUUCCAGCGUGUCUCUAAUGUUGGCAGGUCGGAACUUUGACAUUCAAUUAAAGCUAAUUAAAAGCGUUUUCAACUGAAAUCGAGUGGUAAAUAGCUCAAUAAGGAGUGAGCAAGCAAGUUUCUAUCAAAAUUUUCGCAAAAUUAGUUGUUUAAAUAGUGAAAAUUAGCAAAUUAGAUAGAGUUAGGAGCGAGAGCUUAACCUGCCAAACAUACGAGAAUUUCCCCUAGGCAAUGUUAUGAUAUAUUUUAACAAAAAGAAUCGUUUUUGACAAUGUAUGUUAUCAAAUGAGAUAGAACACAAAGUUAAAAUUAGAAAAUUUGAAAAAUAGAUAGUUUAAAAAAAUUAAAAGCAUUUUCAUUGAAUUUUAAUUAUUCCGUUGUUUUGGAAUUAUAUUGUAAAUGCAGAAGGGUAGUAGUAAAAGAGAGUUGAAUCAAAACCAGUUCCAUAUUUGGCGUGUGAAAUUACUCACAUGCAUGAUAUCGCCUUCAUUAGGUAAUUUACAGUAUGUAUAAAAAGUAUUUACACCCCUUGGGCACUAUGCACAUAUUGUGAUGAAACAUCUAAACAAUUUAAUGUUGACAGAAACCUAGUACUACGUUUUGUUCAGAAACUCAUGCCAGACAUUUUGCUACAAAAAGCUCAUGAAAAGAUGAUUUCUAUAAAAAGUUAUAUAACAAAUACUAUUACGAAACUAAAAAAGGUGCAAAAAAAGUUUGUACACCUUUCGAAAAAUUAACAUAAAUAAUGUUAUUUGUUGACAAAUCACCAUAAAUCCAGUCUCCCAACUUCAAAUAGGCAUCCUUGACUGAUUUAUAAAAUAAUUUGGAUUGAAUAUAAAGUUUACUAACAACUUAGUAUAAAAGUUUAUAUAACUCUGGAAAUUCUAUAUAAAACUUAUCUAAACUUAAUUUUGCAAACUUUUAAUUCAACUAAAUGUCAAUAUAUUACCAUAUAAUUGCUAAAUAAACAUUUUGGAGUGGGUAUAACACCGUUUUGGGGGUAUUUGUAUCGAUAGAAUAGAUUUUUCGUUGGAAUUUCGUACCAACCCGGAAUUACGUCGUCGGAAAAUCCGCCGGCAUCCGAACCGGUCCACAAUUCUUAAGUCAACCUAUGUGGCAUCGGAAAGGGCAUAAAAUUUCCGAUCUUUUGAUACCCAUACAUCUAGGUUUUCUAUAAAACCCACGAUUUUAUAUACCUAGGUAAAAACGUUGUUAUGGUUUUGUUUGAGCAAUCUGCCAAAAAUGUAUGGAAUUUCGUAAUUUUUGUUCUCGUGGAUCAAACUUACUUUUUGCCCAGGUAUUUAAAAACGUGGGUUUUAUAGAAAACCUAGAUGUAUGGGUAUCAAAAGAUCGGAAAUUUUAUGCCCUUUCCGAUGCCACAUAGGUUGACUUAAGAAUUAUGGACCGGUUCGAAUGCCGGCGGAUUUUCCGACGACGUAAUUCCGGGUUGGUACGAAAUUCCAACGAAAAAUCUAUUCUAUCGAUACAAAUACCCCCAAAACGGUGUUAUACCCACUCCAAAAUAUUUAUUUAGCAAUUCUAUGGUAAUAUAUUGACAUUUAGUUGAAUUAAAAGUUUGCAAAAUUAAGUUUAGAUAAGUUUUAUAUAGAAUUUCCAGAGUUAUAUAAACUUUUAUACUAAGUAGUUAGUAAACUUUAUAUUCAAUCCAAAUCAUUUUUUUAAUCAGUCAAGGAUGCCUAUUUGGAGUUAGGAGACUGGAUUUAUGGUGAUUUGUCAACAAAUAACAUUAUUUAUGUUAAUUUUUCGAAAGGUGUACAAACUUUUUUUGCACCUUUUUUAUUUUCGUAAUAGUAUUUGUUAUAUAACUUUUUAUAGAAAUCAUCUUUUCAUGAGCUGUUUGUAGCAAAAUGUUUGGCAUGAGUUUCUGAACAAAACGUAGUACUAGGUUCCUGUCAAACUUUAAAUUCUUUACAUGUUUCAUCACAAAAUGUGCAUAGUGCUCAAGGGGUGUAAAUACUUUUUUUACAUACUGUAUAU